Molecule: ribosomal RNA, 274 nt
Filed under: uncultured bacterium
Lineage: Bacteria
Description: partial 16S ribosomal RNA
Rfam family: Bacterial small subunit ribosomal RNA
Source: RNAcentral
CUACGAAGGUGGCUAGCGUUGUUCGGAAUCACUGGGCGUAAAGCGCGUGUAGGUGGAUCAAUUAGUUGAGGGUGAAAUCCCGGGGCUCAACCUCGGAACUGCCUUCAAUACUGUUGAUCUUGAGACCGAGAGAGGUGAGUGGAAUUCCUAGUGUAGAGGUGAAAUUCGUAGAUAUUAGGAAGAACACCAGUGGCGAAGGCGGCUCACUGGCUCGGUACUGACGCUGAGGUGCGAAAGCGUGGGGAGCAAACAGGAUUAGAAACCCUAGUAGUCC